GUAAUAUAUAGAUAACGUGCCUCUUAGUCUGGGAUAGCCAUUGGAAACGAUGAUUAAUACCGGAUACUCCUUCUAACUCUAAUGUUAGUCGGGAAAGUUUUUCGCUAAGAGAUCGGUCUAUAUCCCAUCAGUUAGUUGGUAAGGUAACGGCUUACCAAGGCAAUGACGGGUAGCGGGUUUGAGAGGAUGAUCCGCCACACUGGUACUGAGACACGGACCAGACUCCUACGGGAGGCAGCAGUGAGGAAUAUUGCACAAUGGGGGAAACCCUGAUGCAGCAACGCCGCGUGGAGGAUGACGCAUUUCGGUGUGUAAACUCCUUUUAUGAGUCAAGAAAAUGACGGUAGCUCAUGAAUAAGCACCGGCUAACUCCGUGCCAGCAGCCGCGGUAAUACGGAGGGUGCAAGCGUUACUCGGAAUCACUGGGCGUAAAGGACGCGUAGGCGGGAUGCCAAGUCUGAUGUGAAAUCCUAUGGCUUAACCAUAGAACUGCAUUGGAAACUGGUAACCUAGAGUAUGGGAGGGGGAGAUGGAAUUAGUGGUGUAGGGGUAAAAUCCGUAGAUAUCACUAGGAAUACCGAAAGCGAAGGCGAUCUCCUGGAACAUAACUGACGCUAAGGCGUGAAAGCGUGGGGAGCAAACGGGAUUAGAUACCCCGGUAGUCCACGCCCUAAACGAUGAACACUAGUCGUCGCUCUGCUUGUCAGGGCGGUGAUGCACUUAACAGAUUAAGUGUUCCGCCUGGGGAGUACGGUCGCAAGAUUAAAACUCAAAGGAAUAGACGGGGACCCGCACAAGUGGUGGAGCAUGUGGUUUAAUUCGAAGAUACGCGAAGAACCUUACCUAGCCUUGACAUUGAUAGAAUACCCUAGAGAUAGAGUAGUGCCUUUCGGGGAACUUGAAAACAGGUGCUGCACGGCUGUCGUCAGCUCGUGUCGUGAGAUGUUGGGUUAAGUCCCGCAACGAGC
This 968-nucleotide ribosomal RNA is filed under the name uncultured bacterium. Its description in RNAcentral is "bacterial SSU rRNA". It matches the Rfam family "Bacterial small subunit ribosomal RNA", at positions 110 to 1097 of the family's 1533-position model. The record is from RNAcentral.